AGAUUGAACGCUGGCGGAAUGCUUUACACAUGCAAGUCGAGCGGCAGCGCGGGGCAACCUGGCGGCGAGCGGCGAACGGGUGAGUAAUGCAUCGGAACAUGUCCAUGUCGUGGGGGAUAGCCCGGCGAAAGCCGGAUUAAUACCGCAUACGCCCGAGAGGGGAAAGUGGGGGACCGCAAGGCCUCACGCGAUUGGGUUGGCCGAUGUCCGAUUAGCUAGUUGGCGGGUAAUGGCCCACCAAGGCGAUGAUCGGUAGCUGGUCUGAGAGGAUGAUCAGCCACACUGGGACUGAGACACGGCCCAGACUCCUACGGGAGGCAGCAGUGGGAAUUUUGGACAAUGGGGGCAACCCUGAUCCAGCCAUUCCGCGUGAGUGAAGAAGGCCGUUACGGGUUGUAAAGCUCGUUUUCGUCCGGUAACGAAACGGUUAGACGUAGAAGUAUCGCUGCCUACGUGACGGUACCGGAAGAAUAAG
RNAcentral lists this ribosomal RNA (475 nucleotides) under uncultured soil bacterium. RNAcentral's name for it is "bacterial SSU rRNA". It matches the Rfam family "Bacterial small subunit ribosomal RNA", at positions 26 to 490 of the family's 1533-position model. The record is from RNAcentral.